GACGAACGCUGGCGGCGUGCUUAACACAUGCAAGUCGAACGGAAAGGCCCUGCUUUUGUGGGGUGCUCGAUUGGCGAACGGGUGAGUAACACGUGAGUAACCUGCCCUUGACUUUCGGAUAACUUCAGGAAACUGGGGCUAAUAUCGGAUAGGAUCUCCUGCAGCAUGGUGGGGGUUGGAAAGUUUCGGCGGUAGGGGCUGGACUCGCGGCUUAUCAGCUUGUUGGUGGGGUAGUUGCUUACCAAGGCUUUGACGGGUAGCCGGCCUGAGAGGGGGACCGGCCACAAUGGGACUGAGAUACGGCGCAGACUCGUACGGGAGGCAGCAGUGGGGAGUAUUACACAGUGGGCCGAAGCCUGAUGCAGCAACGCCGCGUGCGGGAUGCCGGGCUUCGGGUUGUGAACAGCUUUCGCCUGUGACGAAGCGUGAGUGACGGUAAUGGGUAAAGAAGCACCGGCUAACUACGUG
This 468-nucleotide ribosomal RNA is filed under the name uncultured bacterium. Its description in RNAcentral is "partial 16S ribosomal RNA". It matches the Rfam family "Bacterial small subunit ribosomal RNA", at positions 28 to 507 of the family's 1533-position model. The record is from RNAcentral.